GGUUUUGUAGUUGAGCCAACAUCAAAUUGCAAAUUUGGAGACGUAAUUAUUUACCAAAACUU
RNAcentral lists this transfer RNA (62 nucleotides) under Phoronopsis harmeri. RNAcentral's name for it is "tRNA-Cys". The record is from RNAcentral. Lineage: Eukaryota; Metazoa; Phoronida; Phoronidae.